CAGGAGCAAGAGAGAGAAGGGGGAGGUGCCCCACCAGAGGCCCCCAGAUGGUGUCACAGGGCCCAGCAGGUGGGAGGCCCUCUGCCUACGCCACUCAUUGGUGGUGAGGCUUGUGGGCAGUUUUGCAGGGGCUAGAAUGCAGCACGGGCCCCUUGGACCCUGGCCUGAUUUCCCCCACCCCACCUCGCUGCCCUGCGCUUGCAGCCUAACCUGCAAAUGCAGCAGGGGCAGCUCCUCCUGGGUCAGGCCCUGUCCAUCCCACAGGCCUGGCUGGCUCCCCCUGCUGUCACCUCACACCAUUCUCCUUCUCCGGAGCCCUGUGCUGGUUGCCCUGGGUAGCACAUCAGACAGGGUUCCAAUCCCAGCUCCACCAGUUUCCCAGACUGGCGCUGGUGACUGAGGCCCUUUGGGCCUCUGUUCCUUCAUCUGGAGAAGGGGGGAGCAGCAGGAGGGCCACCCUGGGGAGGCAUGGAGACGGCUGUGUCUGGCUUAG
This 493-nucleotide long non-coding RNA is filed under the name Homo sapiens (human). Its description in RNAcentral is "non-protein coding lnc-HNRNPF-3:2". Lineage: Eukaryota; Metazoa; Chordata; Mammalia; Primates; Hominidae. The record is from RNAcentral.